UUAAGUUCAGCGGGUAGUCCUACCUGAUUUGAGAUCAAAAGUUCAGGGCGUUGUCCUUUGGUGAAGACGGUUAUAAGCCAGAGCGUCUCCGACAUUGUCGCUCAGGAUGACACAAAUCGGCGUAGAUGUUUAUCACACCGGUCAAGCCAUCGAGAUCAACUCAAAGCUAAUGAUUUCAAGAGGAGCUGGCGAACGCCAGC
Molecule: unclassified non-coding RNA, 200 nt
Filed under: Odontia sp.
Lineage: Eukaryota; Fungi; Basidiomycota
Description: partial internal transcribed spacer 2
Source: RNAcentral